CAGCUUUGAAGCAAUUUUUGUUCUUUUCGAGAAACUGAAUUUAAAGGCUGAAAUUUAGUUUCCCGAAAACUACACUGGCGAUUUUCAAAUAACUUUCAAAAAGAUUCAAAACUUCAUAACAAUGUAUUUUCUGCAAUAAAAAAGGUAGGUCACCGUGCUUAUUUGUCCGCUAAGACGGCUUUUUUGGUUGAUAUGGGCCAUAUAGAUGGUGACGUCUUGUUGUCAUGGUAACGUGAAGAGUAGCGAUUGUGGGUU
Molecule: non-coding RNA, 255 nt
Organism: Paramuricea clavata
Lineage: Eukaryota; Metazoa; Cnidaria; Anthozoa; Malacalcyonacea; Plexauridae
Source: the annotation of a GenBank genome assembly